CGCUGAUGAUGCGAAGGUUUUGGGUCCGUUUAGCGAAGAUAUGGAUCCCUCCCCCUUACACGCGCGUUUUCGAGGCUUGGGAGAUGAACAGUUCCUCGCUAAAUGCUAAACUGAUCGCGUGAAUGCUGACGACGCGAAGGUUUUGAGUCCGUUUAGCGAAGAUUCGGAUCCCUCUCCCUCACGCACGCGUUUUCGAGGCUCGGGAGAUGAACAGUUCCUUGCUGAAUGCUAAUCUGAUCGCGUGAAUACUGACGAUCGACGCGAAGGUUUUGAGUCCGUUUAGCCAAGAUAUGGAUCCCUCUCCCUCACGCACGCGUUUUCGAGGCUUGGGAGAUGAUGGGUUCCGCGCUGCACGUCAAACUGAUCGCGUGGGUACCAAAUGCGCGAAGGUUUUGACUCCGUUCAGCGAGAUAGCGAUUGCAUUACAGACUCGCGGGUUCGUGGUGCUUCGGAGGUGAAAGAUUCCUUCCCUGAACGCAAAACUAACGCCGCUGAGGAAAUAUAACGAGCAGCAAAAACAUUCGCCCUGCCUUCGCCUCUCAGCUGACAUCGCCACGGGUAGAAACAGCCAGCUAGAAAAAAAAAAAAAAAAAAAAAAAAGAAAUAGCCCAUUGUUUUCCGCGAAGGCUGAGUUCGCGAUGAGGCCGCGCAACGUGAAUUCCGCGUAAAUAACAAUAAUACUCGUCACGUCCAGUUAGCGAUGGAAGUGAAACGCGCGUAAUAAGAUUUUUUUUAAAGCCACUUUCUUUCAAAACUUAUUGUUUGGUCUAACAUAAAGCGAGAUACCUCUCUGGCCAACUGUUCCACGUUAGUUUGUUAGUUAGUUAGUUUGAAGAGAGAUCCGUGGAAAGGUGUGGCGGGUUUGGCUGACUGACUAAGGUAAGAAGAACGUUUUCCAUGCUACACACACACACUCACUUUCACUCACUCACACACACACACACACACACACACACACACACACACACAGGGUUAAUAUUAGCUGCCAUCUGAUCGGUUUGCCUACAGAUAAAGUCUAAUCCAAGAAAUAGCUCUUACCAAAAUACAGUAUAUAUAUAAUAUUGUCAUAGAAUAUUUAUAAUCCUGUCACAACGUGUGCUUAUGGGCUAACAAGGGAUUAAAGGGGUGAUUUAACAUAGACUUUCCCAUUAUAAUUUAUCUCUUCAACAGCAACAGUAAUUAACACGUUUGGGUCAAGUAGUUGUGGCGAGUUGUGAAGGGGGGGGCUGCCUGCUGUACCCUUCCCCCCUCCCUUCCCUUCCCUCCCCUCUCUGGCCUAUUUCCAUCCUCCUCUCUUCUCUUCCUCUUCCUCUUCCUCGUUCCCAUAUCCAACUUCCUGUCCUGUCUAUACCUUUCUUUCAGGUCUCUCUCUCUCUCUCUCUCUCUCUCUCUCUCUCUCUCUCUCUCUCUCUCUCUCUCUCUCU
Long non-coding RNA from Eriocheir sinensis (Chinese mitten crab), 1424 nucleotides. RefSeq lists it as uncharacterized. The record is from RefSeq and is a predicted model, not a curated record. NCBI's taxonomy places the organism in Eukaryota, Metazoa, Arthropoda, Malacostraca, Decapoda, Varunidae. The transcript has 2 exons.